AGUGAACGCUGGCGGUAGGCCUAACACAUGCAAGCCGAACGGCAGCACAGGAGAGCUUGCUCUCUGGGUGGCGAGUGGCGGACGGGUGAGGAAUACAUCGGAAUCUACUCUGUCGUGGGGGAUAACGUAGGGAAACUUACGCUAAUACCGCAUACGACCUACGGGUGAAAGCAGGGGACCUUCGGGCCUUGCGCGAUUGAAUGGGCCGAUGUCGGAUUAGCUAGUUGGCGGGGUAAAGGCCCACCAAGGCGACGAUCCGUAGCUGGUCUGAGAGGAUGAUCAGCCACACUGGAACUGAGACACGGUCCAGACUCCUACGGGAGGCAGCAGUGGGGAAUAUUGGACAAUGGGCGCAAGCCUGAUCCAGCCAUACCGCGUGGGUGAAGAAGGCCUUCGGGUUGUAAAGCCCUUUUGUUGGGAAAGAAAUCCAGCUGGCUAAUACCCGGUUGGGAUGACGGUACCCAAAGAAUAAGCACCGGCUAACUUCGUGCCAGCAGCCGCGGUAA
RNAcentral lists this ribosomal RNA (506 nucleotides) under uncultured bacterium. Its description in RNAcentral is "partial 16S ribosomal RNA". It matches the Rfam family "Bacterial small subunit ribosomal RNA", at positions 29 to 523 of the family's 1533-position model. The record is from RNAcentral.